CGCCCCCCCCUCCCCCUUUCCCGCCCUGCUCCCCUUGUUCCCCUUCCGCGUCGCUGCGCAACGAGCGCCCCGGCGGCGGCAGCUGGGCGGCGGGGCGGGCGGGCAUGGCGGACCCCGCUGACAGGGCCGCACAUGUUUACGGGCCGCGCUCUGCCGGCAGGAGGAGAAAUCUGAGGCAAAAGCUGAACAGGAUCGCGGGCGGGAGCAUGGAGCAAGCGCUGUGGGAGCUGGCCCGGCCCUCACACGCCCCAGGGGCAGCGCUGCGAGCGGCUGGCGGGCGGGUCUGGGUGGAGAGGGUGGCCUGUUAGCUCCCCGGGUGCCUGCCUCCGCUCAUCCUCGCUGUGACAGCAAAGGGCAUGUUCCUGGAGGGGGAACGUCCGUUUUCCAAACGAGUCCGCUUUAUCUGUGCCUUUCCAGUUCCACAAGAUUUACAGUGGAGUUUCCGUGUAAAAAGUGAGUCUCUUCAAAAAACCAUGAUUGAUCCACUCGACCAGGUAUCAAGAAGCUAAAUACUCAUGCAGUGGCAGGAAAAAAGACGGGACAUCUCGUGGUGGCGCGUACCAGGGGCUUUGACUGCUGUUCUGCUGCGAGACGGGCUGUGCCGACAUUGCAGUGCAGCUGAUCAAAGCUGCAGUAAAACAUCUAGAAGUGUCAUUUUUAGCUGGAUGGGGAAAUACUGCUGGAAGGCCUGAUAGGCCAGAAUUUGCCAGCGAUUCUGUUGCAGAUCUUGUCAGGAGAUGCACAGUCUCCGGAAACGUUGAAAGAGUGAAUGAAAACAACUGGUUUGUGGGACUGAGUUGAGAAAGUUGAAACAACUUCGAUACUUUGACAUGAAAAGUAACUUCAUUAUUUCUUGGGUACUGAGUGAGGUACUGUAUGAUCUAUAAUUUCUUGCAUAGAAAGUGCUGCAUGCUAUGUUCCAAAAUGAAUAAAUGUAAUUACUUUUUGACAGGGACAAAUUAACCUAGCGUUAGAGGUGAAGCUUGGCCCCGUGCCAACAUAUUACGUGUACUUUUGGCCUGUUGGCACGUCUCUAAAACAGAGCGUGUGGGGAGAAAGGUACUGAACACUGAAAAGGGAAUUACUGUAAUUCACUUGUAAAUGGAGAAGAGUAUAUAUAUGGCUCAAAAAUAACAUGUAAAUGCAGACUUGAAACUUAUUUAUAGAGGAAGAGGUUAGGAAAAGCACGUGACAACCUUAAGUAUAACUCAAUUUCAGGAGGCUUUAAUAAAUGGUAUAGAAGCCUGUAAUAAAUUUAAAUGAUGACUGCAAUAACUUAAA
Long non-coding RNA from Harpia harpyja (harpy eagle), 1281 nucleotides. RefSeq lists it as uncharacterized. The transcript has 3 exons. Lineage: Eukaryota; Metazoa; Chordata; Aves; Accipitriformes; Accipitridae. The record is from RefSeq and is a predicted model, not a curated record.